RNAcentral lists this ribosomal RNA (1030 nucleotides) under Staphylococcus aureus. Its description in RNAcentral is "bacterial SSU rRNA". It matches the Rfam family "Bacterial small subunit ribosomal RNA", at positions 56 to 1066 of the family's 1533-position model. The record is from RNAcentral. Lineage: Bacteria; Bacillati; Bacillota; Bacilli; Caryophanales; Staphylococcaceae.
UGCAGUCGAGCGAACGGACGAGAAGCUUGCUUCUCUGAUGUUAGCGGCGGACGGGUGAGUAACACGUGGAUAACCUACCUAUAAGACUGGGAUAACUUCGGGAAACCGGAGCUAAUACCGGAUAAUAUUUUGAACCGCAUGGUUCAAAAGUGAAAGACGGUCUUGCUGUCACUUAUAGAUGGAUCCGCGCUGCAUUAGCUAGUUGGUAAGGUAACGGCUUACCAAGGCAACGAUGCAUAGCCGACCUGAGAGGGUGAUCGGCCACACUGGAACUGAGACACGGUCCAGACUCCUACGGGAGGCAGCAGUAGGGAAUCUUCCGCAAUGGGCGAAAGCCUGACGGAGCAACGCCGCGUGAGUGAUGAAGGUCUUCGGAUCGUAAAACUCUGUUAUUAGGGAAGAACAUAUGUGUAAGUAACUGUGCACAUCUUGACGGUACCUAAUCAGAAAGCCACGGCUAACUACGUGCCAGCAGCCGCGGUAAUACGUAGGUGGCAAGCGUUAUCCGGAAUUAUUGGGCGUAAAGCGCGCGUAGGCGGUUUUUUAAGUCUGAUGUGAAAGCCCACGGCUCAACCGUGGAGGGUCAUUGGAAACUGGAAAACUUGAGUGCAGAAGAGGAAAGUGGAAUUCCAUGUGUAGCGGUGAAAUGCGCAGAGAUAUGGAGGAACACCAGUGGCGAAGGCGACUUUCUGGUCUGUAACUGACGCUGAUGUGCGAAAGCGUGGGGAUCAAACAGGAUUAGAUACCCUGGUAGUCCACGCCGUAAACGAUGAGUGCUAAGUGUUAGGGGGUUUCCGCCCCUUAGUGCUGCAGCUAACGCAUUAAGCACUCCGCCUGGGGAGUACGACCGCAAGGUUGAAACUCAAAGGAAUUGACGGGGACCCGCACAAGCGGUGGAGCAUGUGGUUUAAUUCGAAGCAACGCGAAGAACCUUACCAAAUCUUGACAUCCUUUGACAACUCUAGAGAUAGAGCCUUCCCCUUCGGGGGACAAAGUGACAGGUGGUGCAUGGUUGUCGUCAGCUCGUGUC